UACAGAGGGUGCAAGCGUUGUUCGGAUUUACUGGGCGUAAAGGGCGCGUAGGCGGUCAGCACAAGUCAGUUGUGAAAUCUCCGGGCUUAACCCGGAAAGGUCAACUGAUACUGUGCGACUAGAGUGCGGAAGGGGCAACUGGAAUUCUCGGUGUAGCGGUGAAAUGCGUAGAUAUCGGGAGGAACACCAGUGGCGAAGGCGGUUGCCUGGGGCUUUGCUGACGCUGAUGCGCGAAAGCGUGGGGAGCGAUCCGG
RNAcentral lists this ribosomal RNA (254 nucleotides) under uncultured bacterium. RNAcentral describes it as "partial 16S ribosomal RNA". It matches the Rfam family "Bacterial small subunit ribosomal RNA", at positions 524 to 776 of the family's 1533-position model. The record is from RNAcentral.